Octopus bimaculoides (California two-spot octopus) is the source of this 1410-nucleotide long non-coding RNA. NCBI's taxonomy places the organism in Eukaryota, Metazoa, Mollusca, Cephalopoda, Octopoda, Octopodidae. The record is from RefSeq and is a predicted model, not a curated record.
ACUAGUCGUCUGCCACAACAUUUCCUUAUUGAUUCUAAAGCAAUGCUCAUUGCGCUUCUCGACACCACCAUCAUCUCUGGAGACGAUCGAAUUCCUGCGUCACACCUCCUUCCUUUUUCUCUAUCUGUGUGUCUUCUGCUCUUUCUUUCCAUGUCUCUUCUCUUCUCUUCUCUGCUCUGCUCUCCUAACAACCUAACUCUCCGAACACUCUUUCUUACUCCUCUCUUUAUGCGACUUUUUCUUCCAUCAUAUAGCUCACCCUCUCUUUUUCUCUGUAUGUCUUUCUAAUUUCCCCUUUCUCUUUACGCCAUCCAUUGAUUAUCAUUUUUUCAUUAUCGCUUGUCAGUCUCUUUCUCUCUCUCUCUCUGUUACUCUUAGUAUUUAUCUCUCACACCCCUCUAUGAUAUUGUUUCGGUCUAACCCCGCUCUCACUUUCUUAUUUCUAAAUUUCCCCCUCCUUUCCCCUCCUAUUCUCCUCCAUUCUAGUAAAACUGCCAACCCUCAUCCCUCUUUUCCUUUUUACAUACUUGCAUAAAUAUAAAUCUAUUAUCUUUUCCUAACUCCUCCUCUUCUCUAUCCCCCUGCCUCUCAUUGUACCUCUAACUCUUCUGCUGUAUUCCUACCUCUCUUUAUUUCUAUUCCUCUCUACCUUAUUCACUACCUCUGCCUACCUCUAAAAUCACUUUCUCCAUCUCUCUCUGUCCUUCACACAACGAUCGUUUUUCCGUCCACUGGUCUGUCCCAGAUAUCUAUUGAUCUGACUACAGUCGGGUUUAUUCAGUAUAAAUCUUAACUUUGUUAUCCCUGACCUUCAUUCUAACGUCAUAGAAAAAGACUACCCUCGCAAUGGCACAAGGAAGAGUCAUUUUGAUAGCUGUUGAUGGCAGCAGCGAUUCCGAAUAUGCAUUCAAUUAUAUUUGAAACUGGAGAGCAGUGUCAUCGCUGCACAAAAAUACUGAAUAGUGUUUUACAGUUACCAGACUUACUUUUCAUCGUGCCAAAGUUGAUGGUGGCAACCUUGAAGUUUUGCACCUGACAGGGAGAGGAGAAUUUCUGGUGGUGUUUGGGUUGUUUGAUGCCUAUUUUCUGCAUCUGAAAAGAAGAGUUGAGUUGAUGUAAAUGGCCAAAGGGUUCAUGCACAUGGCCAGAUGUUCCCAUUUGGUCACCACACUGCUAUGAACAACAAUAGAAUGGGAAGCUUUUUUAUACAGAAUUAGGUUUGUUCAUUGAUUUGAUUGUCAUGUUUUUUGCAUGUUAUUUUUGUUUGUUUGACAACUAGAUACCCUUCCUAUCACAAAUGUUUUUAUAACAUGAACUUGAUACAUUUUAUUAUACUGCUACCAUUAGAGAGAUUGUUUGGCAGCAUUGAAAGAUCUCGUCUUAUUGCAUCAAUUUUUAAUCAGAAUUGCU